RNAcentral lists this ribosomal RNA (468 nucleotides) under uncultured bacterium. Its description in RNAcentral is "partial 16S ribosomal RNA". It matches the Rfam family "Bacterial small subunit ribosomal RNA", at positions 29 to 507 of the family's 1533-position model. The record is from RNAcentral.
UACGAACGCUGGCGGCGUGCUUAACACAUGCAAGUCGAACGAAAAGUCCCUGCUUUUGUGGGGUUCUCGGGUGGCGAACGGGUGAGUAACCCGUUGGUAACCUACCCCUGCCUUUAGGGUAACUUAAUGAAACUUGGGCUAAUACCUGCUAGGAUCUCUUGCUGCAUGGUGGGCGUUCGUAAGUUUCGGCGGUUGGUGAUGUACUGGCGGCUUAUCGGCUUGUUGGUUGGGUGGUGGCUUAGCAAGACUUUCACGGGUAGCCGGCCUGAAAGGCGGACCGGCCACAUUGGGAUUGAGAUAAGGCACAGCCUACAAUGGGAGGCAGGAGUGGAGAAUAUUGCACAAUGGGAGGAAGGCUGAUGUAGAAACGCAGUGUGCGGUAUGACGGGCUUCGCGUUGUAAACCAAUUUGGCCUUUCACGAGGCGUUAGUGACGGUACUGGGUAAAGAAGCACCGGCUAACUACGUG